AUAUAAAGCACUUAGUACAGUUCCUGACAUGUAAAUAAAUGCUAUAUAAGUUGUUUUAUUAUUAUUGCUAUUAAUGUUUCAAGUAUGGUUUUUGUAUGCUGCAAUUGUUUGAAUGUUUUCCAAUUCAUUCUGUAAUUCUUCCAUUAACAUUCAGAGUCAUAAUAAUUUUACUUUCUUGUCUUAAAAGGCUUAUGACAGUUCUCUUAAAUACAGCUGGUAUAGUGGUGUAAAUGACUAACCCGAGUAAAAGGAGAUUUACUUAAUUUUUAAUGAUAUAGUUGUCAAAUGCAGGACAAGAAUCAUACUGAUAACUGUGAUUUAGUGUCCAUCCUUUCCAUGGCAUUUUUUUCCUCACUGGGACAAACCUCAAAGUGGUGUUAUAUGCAUAUGUAUUUUGUAUUACAUAAUUACUCAUGUAUUUCAGAUUUUGAUAGGCCCAUGAAGAUUCAGGAGCCCUCAAACUGGGCAUAUUUAUAUUUCUGUCAGAUUCCUAGAAACUGCAUCACCAGUUCAAGAGUUUUCCUUAUUCAUUAAAAAAAAAAUAAACUUUCAUGUUCCUCCUGCCCAUAUAACAGGUAUUUCCAGCCUACAACAUCCCCCAAUUCUCUUGUGACUUGAAAUUCUAUCUAUACCACAACCUUCGGAUUGCUAUAAAAUUUUAUGGGGCAUCUCUCUCCUUUAUAUAUAGUGCUUAUGACACCUCUUCCCCCAAAUACUUCUAAUUUUAUUUUUUUUAAAUAGCAAAUCAAGAGGCAUAGGAAGUCCUUUUUGAAUAGAUUUAAAUCUUAUACAUGUUGGUCAUGUAAUCCUAGUUAAGUGAUUUAACUUCUUCAUGCUCUGGCCUAGAGAUUUCAAACAGACUACCUACCCUUGGGCACCAGUGUGGUUCACAUACUAGGACCAUAUCCUGGACUACUUUCAAAUGUAAUUGGGAAAUAUUUAACAAAAUAAAUAAGAAUACACUAAAACACAGAUAAUAUUAACAUGUGGUUUUCUAAAUCUGUAGCACCUAUAAGAAUUUUUACGUAUGGGUUUUAGUUGUUUAUGUUUCUUUUUUGCCCCAUCUCUACUUGAGUUUUUUCAAACUCAAGUGGAGAGCUUAGGCCCUCUCUAAGUAGUAGAGAGCUUAGGCCCUCUCUAAGUAGUAGAGAGCUUAGGCCCUCUCUAAGUAGUAGAGAGCUUAGGCCCUCUCUAAGUAGUAGAGAGCUUAGGCCCUCUCUAAGUAGUAGAGAGCUUAGUCUCUAAGCAACUCUCAAGGUGUAGUUCCCAGAAUGAUAAAAUCACAGAUCCAGUCUUUAUCCCCUAAAUAACAAUCAGUACAGAAGACUCAUAACUUAUUUAGUUUGAAAAAAAUCUGUAUUCCUUUUCCCCUCUGUACAUAUAGAUGAUGAAAUUAACACAAAAAAAUAGCUUAUGAUAGAAUAAAUUUUACUUUUGUUACCAUAAGCUUCUCACUAUUUCAUGAUGCAUUUUGGAAACUCCUUUUUGUGUAGUUAUUUGUAUUUAACAUGCAAAAUGUAUCUGUGAACUAAAUGCUUUCGCUACUUAGAGGUCUUAUUGGAAAGAUUUGGUAUUUUUUGCCCUUUGAACACCUUAAAAAUUACUGUGGUAUUUUUUUUUAUUGAUGUGAUGUUUAGUCUCUGAGGGGUAAAAACCUGCCCUUCCUUCCUCUUUGUUUGUUUUUCUUUCCUUUUUGAUUUUUUUUUCAGGUGUGUGCUUGUUAAAAUAAGUGGUUUUAGUUAGUGAGAUCUCAGGAAAUUAUGGUGGGAGAUUUUUGAGAGCAGAGACAUUCUAAAAUAAAAACUUAGCAUAUUUUACUACUGAGAUAAAAGAAGGAAAAGCAUUAAUUCUCUCUGCUUCUCCCUUUUAUUCAGCUGUAGGAAAAAAGACAAGAAAAAACUGAAUCUGCUUUAGGUUCUUCUGACAAUACCUAGUUGGGUAAACUUAAGUGAGCAAGUCCCCUGCUUUUGAUGGGGAGCACACUUGGCCACAGCAGAAGAAAGGCCCUGAUCAGAAUCUAGGAAGGCCUGGUCCAAACAGCAUCUAGACAGCCUGAGUGAAAAGGAAACAUGGCCAAACAAUUCCUGCAAAAGAUUUGUCACUCUCAUCCUGGCAAGCUGAUUAGAGGUGACAUUCAGGGAGCUGGACAGCCAUCCAGUAAUGAAUUUCAGUGUUCAACUCUCUCUUUCUCAAGUAUCACUGAAAUAAGACAAAGUAACUUCCUUGUUGUCUACUCUUUGAAUCCUAGGAUUUGAUGUUCUGAAAGACAGUUUGUGAAAUAUAAGAAUUUAUAGAAGUAUUAAAUCUCAUAAAUACUAAUGAGGUCAAUUCCAGAGUGCAGGAGAAUUUAAAUAAAAUGUGUAGGAACAUUUACUAUGCCCCAAAGAAUAAUUCUGAACCUAGACAAUGCAUGCUGAUUGGAUUUGUGCUUUAUGUACUUGAAGAAGCAAAGAAUAAAAGCGAAAUUAUUU
Sarcophilus harrisii (Tasmanian devil) is the source of this 2471-nucleotide long non-coding RNA. RefSeq lists it as uncharacterized. The record is from RefSeq and is a predicted model, not a curated record. Lineage: Eukaryota; Metazoa; Chordata; Mammalia; Dasyuromorphia; Dasyuridae. The transcript is spliced from 2 exons.